Molecule: long non-coding RNA, 1465 nt
Filed under: Brachypodium distachyon (stiff brome)
Lineage: Eukaryota; Viridiplantae; Streptophyta; Magnoliopsida; Poales; Poaceae
Description: long non-coding RNA (BDIS_LNC001332)
Source: RNAcentral
AUUUCUCAAAAGUGGGGUCAUCAUGUUCAUUUGACCAAGUGAAUUGUCUCCCAUUUAAAGCUAACUCUCUCAAGCCAGCCUGCUCAAUGAUAGCAUUAAAUAGGAAGCUCCAUCUGUUAUAACCAUCCUCCUUAUUUUUCUCAGUUUCUCUUCUUAUAAUGUUGAAAUCCCCUCCCACCAAAAUAGGAUAGCUACUAUCUUGACAUACCUGAGAAAGUUCAGUUAAAAACUCCUCUUUAUGUUCAAUCUGAGCUGCCCCAUAAACCACAAUCAAGUUCCAUCUAACAUCAUGAUUUCUAUCAAAAAGAAGCAAUCUGACAUAAUGAUUCCCAUUCUGUUGUUCUACUAUGUCAAAAGCAGAGUCCCUUACUCCAACUAGAAUCCCCCCCAGAUCUUCCUCUGGAUGGUGCCCAUUUCCAAGUGAAAAGGCCCCUUCCCCCCAAGUUAGCUAGAUCAACAUUAGAGAACUCAUUUCUCAUUGUCUCCUGCAAACCCAGGAAAUUUAAAUGAUGUUCAUUAAUCAGUUCUCUAAUGUAUCUCUGUUUAGCCUCCUUCCCCAUCCCCCUAAUAUUCCAGAACACCCCCUUCAUUUUUCUUUUUUCUAUAUUUAAGCAGUGCCUUCACACUAACAAUGUCAGGUGAAUGUCUUUUCGAUUUUUUAUUUUUCUUAUUCACAAACAUUUGAAAACCAUCUCCCUCAACAGCAGCAUCAAGCUGGUCCAGCAUCUAGAUCAGCUAACAACUCAUCUAGAAGCUUAUCGCCAGUUAAGCCAACAAUAUUGUUACUAGGAACACCUAAAUCAGGCGCCCUAUCAUGUUGGCAAUAGAAAUUUAUUCUAGCUUGCUCAAGAUCCUUGAGCAAGCCCACAUUGUGGUCCACCAUAUCUAUUGCUACUCCCAAAUUAAUUCCUAUAGUUGAAGCAAUUUGAUGCAGAGAAGCAUUAUCAGAGUCAACAAAGGAUAAAAUUUCUUGUGUAAAUUUCUCCUUGUAAGGAACCAUUUCCAAUUGAGCAAGGCAUCUCUAAAAUGGAGCGUGUAAUGGUCGGCUCUUGCGAGAGCUGCCCUCGCGGGCAGGCGGCCAUGGAGGCCCUGCAUGCCACCGCCCGUCCCUGCCUCUAGGAUUGCCUCCACGGCGAUGGUUCCUUGCGCAUCCCGGUCCGUCGUUGUUGUGGCGGACCCUGCCUUCUCCACUGUCGUCUCACCUGGCUCCCCGUCUCGACCGGCCUCCAAUGCCGGGUCGACCACUUCCGCCCCGAUGGUUGGGCCGUCUGCUGCUACGUCCGGGGUGGAGACCGACAAGCUGACCAACCUCGACGUGCCUGAUGUUACCACACCAGAUGCUUAGAGGGAGCUGGGGACCCUUAACCCUGUGGAGGAAGCUUUUGAUGCUCUCUGUCUGUCGGCUGGUUUGUCGUUUAUGUGCCCCUUUUGUGUUAAAUCUGUUGUUUUUGUCGACCACUGUUGU